RNAcentral lists this transfer RNA (75 nucleotides) under Caloramator sp. E03. Its description in RNAcentral is "tRNA-Glu". It matches the Rfam family "tRNA". From Rfam's summary of the family: Transfer RNA (tRNA) molecules are approximately 80 nucleotides in length. Lineage: Bacteria; Bacillati; Bacillota; Clostridia; Eubacteriales; Clostridiaceae. The record is from RNAcentral.
GGCCCCUUGGUCAAGUGGUUAAGACAUCGCCCUUUCACGGCGGUAACAUGGGUUCGAAUCCCGUAGGGGUCACCA